AACGCACGAGACCUGCGGACCUGCGGAAGGAUCAUUACCGAGUUCUCGCCCCUCGCGGGGUAGACCUCCCACCCACUGUGAUCACUACCGUCGUUGCUUUGGCGGGCCGCUGGGCCCAGCCCACCGCCGGCUCCAGCUGGCGCGUGCCCGCCAGAGGCCCUACAAACGCUGGAUAUCAGUGCCGUCUGAGUACACAUGUUAAUCGUUAAAACUUUCAGCAACGGAUCUCUAGAUCGGAAG
Molecule: unclassified non-coding RNA, 240 nt
Filed under: soil metagenome
Description: partial contains 5.8S ribosomal RNA, internal transcribed spacer 2, and large subunit ribosomal RNA
Source: RNAcentral